Molecule: ribosomal RNA, 254 nt
Filed under: uncultured prokaryote
Description: partial 16S ribosomal RNA
Rfam family: Bacterial small subunit ribosomal RNA
Source: RNAcentral
UACAGAGGUCCCGAGCGUUGUUCGGAUUCACUGGGCGUAAAGGGUGCGCAGGUGGUUUGGCAAGUUUGACGUGAAAGCCCCGGGCUUAACCCGGGAAUGGCGUUGAAAACUGCUUGAACUGGAGGGUUGGAGGGGGGACUGGAAUUCUCGGUGUAGCGGUGAAAUGCGUAGAUAUCGAGAGGAACACCUGCGGCGAAGGCGGGUUGCUGGGCUGACACUGACGCUGAAGUGCGAAAGCUAGGGGAGCGAACGGG